This 497-nucleotide ribosomal RNA is filed under the name uncultured bacterium. RNAcentral's name for it is "partial 16S ribosomal RNA". It matches the Rfam family "Bacterial small subunit ribosomal RNA", at positions 28 to 507 of the family's 1533-position model. The record is from RNAcentral.
GACGAACGCUGGCGGCGUGCCUAAUACAUGCAAGUAGAACGCUGAAGAGCGGAGCUUGCUCUUCUUGGAUGAGUUGCGCACGGGUGAGUAACGCGUAGGUAACCUGCCUGGUAGCGGGGGAUAACUAGUGGAAACGAUAGCUAAUACCGCAUAAAAUUGAUUAGCGCAUGAUAGUUAAUUGAAAGAUGCAACUGCAUCACUACCAGGUGGACCUGCGUUGUAUUAGCUAGUUGGUGAGGUAACGGCUCACCAAGGCGGCGUUACAUCGCCGACCUGAGAGGGUGGUCGGCCGACCUGGGACUGCGACACGGCCCAUUCUCCCUCGGGAAGCAGCAGUAGUCAAUCGUCGGCAAUGGGCGGAGAACUGACCGGGCUCCGCGGGGUCAGGGCAGAAGGAGCUCGCUUCGUAAAGCACUGUUUUAGGGUAUUAACGCGUGUGAGCGUGGAACGUUCACUGCGUGACGGUAUCUGCCAAGAAAGGGCCGGCUAACUACGUG